Molecule: long non-coding RNA, 774 nt
Filed under: Gossypium barbadense (sea-island cotton)
Lineage: Eukaryota; Viridiplantae; Streptophyta; Magnoliopsida; Malvales; Malvaceae
Description: long non-coding RNA (GBAR_LNC018600)
Source: RNAcentral
AAGAUGUAGCCAUAAAAAGCAUCACAAAUUCAAAAGAAACAGCAAAUUCUGUCAUAUAACCCUUUUGAAGCUUAUGUUGACAGAUGUUGAUGACCCUACAUCCAGUUCCGUUCCUAUGUGACCAAUUCAUUCAGUCACGGUUAAGAACCGGCUUUCAACAAAUCUAAGAUUUGAACCCCACAGAUCCAGGAGCUAACCAGUAAACAUGUAUGUCUCAUUGACUAGCAUAGUCAUAAAUCAGCUCAUUGAGGGAACUGUUUUGUCAUGAAUUAACCAUAAUGACCAUCCUUUAGUCAUAGAGGGCAACCUUUCAAGGCUCGUUAGGAAUAUAAAGGGCUUCGCUAAUGCUGUCCCUCACCCUCAGCUUCCAAAAUGGCAAAACCCCAAUCAAACCAAGACAUGUUCCCUUUUCUUCACAAGUUCAAAUGAUCAACAUCUCUUCACAAGUUGUGUUGCGGUAGGCAGUUAAACAUAUAAAGGCUGCCCUUUUCUUCACCCAUAGACUUCCUGUUCUUCCAUCUUUAGGUUUUAUAAUACAGAGAAAAAGAAGUAUAAAGUAUUGGAUGACCCUACAAUACGAAUAAAGAAAAAAAACACCAAUUGCUGGACAAAAGUAGAGUAGGGGUAGGAUUACGUACCUCAUUUGUUGCUGUAAAGAUUAGAAAAAAACAAUCCAGAAAGAAAAUAUAUAGCCUCCUCUAAGUGGCUUCAUGAUAUCAGCUUGUAUGCUUUCAAUCAACAAAAUACGGACUUGAUCUUCAAAUGCUAUGGUCU